AUGUUUCCAUGGCUUCACUGUGGCCCUGCUCAAGAGGCCCUGUCUCCUUAUCAACGGCACUGGGACUGCCCUUGGCCUCACCCUGGCAGCCACUCCCCCGGGAUCUCUGGCAGCUGCCUGUGGACCCCACUACUGCAGAGCAAAACUUGGGGUGCCCCCUCCUCCUGGGCAGGCUUCAGAAGGAGCCCCUGCGCCUCCUCUAAGCCAGUUCUGCAGUGGACAGGCCCUUGCCUGGGCCCCAGGCUUCUGGCCACCCCGACACCAGGUUCCCCAAAUCUGGCAACUAGGGCUCUCCUGGGCCUGAGCAGCCAGCUCUGCCUGUGGGGGAGCUCAGGGGAGAGGCUGGGCUCCAGGGAGUCAAGUGCAGGGCUGAGUCUCAAGGCCACAGGGUCCAUGAGACAGCACUGGACCCCACGCCGGGUUGGGGCGAGUCCCAGAACCUUAGGUCACGUGUGCGAGUCAGACUCAGUGCCCGGCUCGGGACCCCAGAGCUGAGCAGGUGAUGUUGGGCUGGGCCUUUGCUGUGCAAUCUACAGCCUGGUGGGGUCUCAGGAUGUGGCUGACUUGGAAGCAGUGAACUGGUGUCUCAAAGUCAGACCCGGGCCCCAGGGGGCUGGCCGGGCACCCCCGAGACGCUUGCCCAGCUAGGUAGGAAAGGAGGGGCCGGGAGCCGGGGGUGGGUUUGGACUGCCAGACUGAAGCAUGAGCCCCACACACCUCCCUCUCAUUGCAGCCGUUACCUCAAAACAGCGAA
Molecule: long non-coding RNA, 754 nt
Filed under: Oryctolagus cuniculus (rabbit)
Lineage: Eukaryota; Metazoa; Chordata; Mammalia; Lagomorpha; Leporidae
Description: lncRNA (ENSOCUG00000032064.1)
Source: RNAcentral